GAUGAACGCUGGCGGCGUGUCUAAUACAUGCAAGUCGAGCGAACGGACGAGAAGCUUGCUUCUCUGAUGUUAGCGGCGGACGGGUGAGUAACACGUGGAUAACCUACCUAUAAGACUGGGAUAACUUCGGGAAACCGGAGCUAAUACCGGAUAAUAUUUUGAACCGCAUGGUUCAAAAGUGAAAGACGGUCUUGCUGUCACUUAUAGAUGGAUCCGCGCUGCAUUAGCUAGUUGGUAAGGUAACGGCUUACCAAGGCAACGAUGCAUAGCCGACCUGAGAGGGUGAUCGGCCACACUGGAACUGAGACACGGUCCAGACUCCUACGGGAGGCAGCAGUAGGGAAUCUUCCGCAAAGGGCGAAAGCCUGACGGAGCAACGCCGCGUGAGUGAUGAAGGUCUUCGGAUCGUAAAACUCUGUUAUUAGGGAAGAACAUAUGUGUAAGUAACUGUGCACAUCUUGACGGUACCUAAUCAGAAAGCCACGGCUAACUACGUG
This 497-nucleotide ribosomal RNA is filed under the name uncultured bacterium. RNAcentral describes it as "partial 16S ribosomal RNA". It matches the Rfam family "Bacterial small subunit ribosomal RNA", at positions 28 to 507 of the family's 1533-position model. The record is from RNAcentral.